UAUUUUUUUCUGGGUUCAUUCCCUGCCCUUGUUUGCUCUUCACUGUAGUAUGUGUAUGUGUUACUUUGGUCAUUUGUUUAUUCGUCAGGUUGCCUUGUUAUGAGAUCAUCAGUGUUUCUAGUCUUGUUUUACUGUCUAUGUGUUCUUUGCUUUUGUUCAUUUUUGGCAACAAGUCACUUAUGUUGUUUUUGUUAGGUUUCAUUUUGUUACAUUGUUCCUUGUAUGUUUCAGUUAGCUUUACUUCCUGUUUUAGUUUGUAGUUGGUCUGCCCUAGAGUCUCCUGUCAUGUUUUACUUCCUGUGUUUUUUCUGAUUGUCUGAGUAGUGCCACCUGUGUGUAAUAAGCUUGAUUCGACAGGAGUCUGUGUGUAUAUAGUUUAGUCUCUAAUUAGUCUCCUGUUUAGUUUUAUGUCUCCCAGUUUCUUGUGGAUUACUUUCUCGUUUGGAUUUUUGGACUUGUCACCUGCACUGUAAGUUUCACCAUCUCUGUGUCUGCAUUUGGGUCCACAAACUUUGUCUCCUGCAUUCAGCCCUGCCGGCUGAAUUAACUCAGAAAUAAAGAAUGUAUAGAGAAUAUAGUGGAAUCAUGGCAAUCCAAAAGUUAGGCACGGUUUGGCAAUUGCACUGACAGCCUUAAGUACACACAACUACCUCUUCUUCAGCCUCUGUAACCUUUAAAUGGAGGGCAUGACCACUACAAAUAUACGACAUGACAAGAGACAAGAUGGGGUGCAGGAGAACAUGCUGUUCCUGUCUGACACUAUAUGAUGAUAAUAGGAAACAACAGGCCUCCCCUCAAGAUUUGUGUGUGCCAGCAACAAUUCCCCAACCGCAGCGCUGUAACACAAGCCAACAACAUGGAUCUGCAGCACUGUCCUGACUCGUGACAGCAAAAUGUUGGCUGCAGUAGUAGGGAAGAUGUCAGAGGAGUCUGGACAGGAUGUCCUUUGACCAAACACUUCUCUCUUCCUCAAGGAGCUUUUCACACAGCAAACUCAUUGUCACCUGAUGUCUAAUGCCUUGCCAAACGAGUUCACAAAAUGCUGAUUAAGCUUCUCACAAUCAGAACUUUUCAAAGAGUCUCUGGCUUGCUUGACACCUGAAAAAGCAGUCAGUAAACGUGUGAUUGGAUUCCUCUGAAAUGGAAAUGAAAGCGUCCAUGGAUUUAUGAAUGCGGAUCAAACGGCGGGACGCGCAUACACUGCAGCACAUGCUUUACUGUGAGCAUAAUGCAAAAGCGUCCUUAUAGGCUAAACAAUUUAUUUAACAAGGGAGGUGGGGAGAAAAGUUUUGGAAUUGAACCAACUGAGCACAUAAAUAUCCAAGGGUUUGAAAUAAAUUGACUUUGUUCUGGCCCGCCAUGUAACGGCUUGAGAAAAAUUUGGCCCAAUACCAGAAUUAUUUGCCGACUGCUGGUUUAGCCUGUUGUGAUUUUAUUUUCUGGUCGAGUUUUCUGCAUUUGUUCUGUAUUUAGUCUGCUAGACUCUGCUUUUUGUCUGUCUGCCAUGAUUGCAAAGAUGACUCUCACCUGUGCUUGAUUACCCUGCCUGCCUGGUUGUGUGUUGUCCUGUGUCAGUAUAGCCUCAGUUCUGUUCAGUCAGAUGUGUUCUUUGGAUUAUUUUGUUGUACCAUUUGGAUCAUCUGCCCUGUUUGGAUUUUGUUACUUUUAUGGAACGCAACCUCUGUUUUUUGACUUGAAUGCCAUGAAUCCAUGUAAGCUUAUCAAAGUUUUUUGUUUAAUAAAUCACAAGAACUGCA
This is a long non-coding RNA of Micropterus dolomieu (smallmouth bass), 1757 nucleotides long. RefSeq lists it as uncharacterized. NCBI's taxonomy places the organism in Eukaryota, Metazoa, Chordata, Actinopteri, Centrarchiformes, Centrarchidae. The transcript has 2 exons. The record is from RefSeq and is a predicted model, not a curated record.